Dendronephthya gigantea is the source of this 1260-nucleotide long non-coding RNA. RefSeq lists it as uncharacterized. Lineage: Eukaryota; Metazoa; Cnidaria; Anthozoa; Malacalcyonacea; Nephtheidae. The record is from RefSeq and is a predicted model, not a curated record. The transcript is spliced from 7 exons.
ACGAACAAGUUAAAACAGUCAAUCAAUAUCUUCAAGAACAUUGCCAAAUUAAUGCAUGGCUCAGUGGACACUUAUCAAACAUGACAAUAUUACCCUCGCGGACCUGAAUCGAGGAGGACUUCAUUUGAAUCAUGAAGGGUUUGAUUUGGGCCAGUGGGACAAACCAUAUAUACGGUGAAAUUUAUUCAAGGAACAAUCGAUACGGCCAGUGAAAUUUAUUUGAGUCAACAGUUACAUCGAGGUCGAGGAAAUACACCUGCAGAGAUAUCAUAAAAAAAGAUUACCAAAUCAUCAAUAUGUGGAUGGAAAGAUACAGUGCAGGGGUAGUAUAGUAUCGAUACAGGAGCGAUGUACAUUAGGCUGGAUCAAGAGCAAAGUGGAGUUCGAAAAAUUGAAGAAUGAUAAUGAUAACAAUGCGCUGAUCAGUAAUACAUCAAUCAUGCACGAGAUGAGGCCAUACAGUAUACUGAAUAGAACCGGCCAGGCAUCGUUGGUGGUGGUACCAAAGCUUCGAAAUGGUUUGAUUGGGGCCAGUUUAAUGCAGACAUUAAACCAUACGGUAAAAAUUAUUCAAGGAACAACCGAUACGGUGAAAUUUUUUUGAGUCAACAGUUACAUCGAGGUCAAGGAAAUAUACCUGCAGAGAUAUCAUAGGAAAAGAUUACCAAAUCAUCAGUAUGUGCAUGGAAAGAUACAGUGCGGGGGUAGUAUAGUAUCGAUACAGGAACGAUGUACAUUAGGCUGGAUCAAGAGCAAAGUGGAGUUCGAAAGAUUGAAGAGUGAUAAUGAUAACAAUGCGCUGAUCAGUAAUACAUCAAUCAUGCACGAGAUGAGGCCAUACAGUAUACUGAAUAAAACCCAGGGAACAUCGUUGGUGGUGGUACCAAAGCUUCGAAAUGGUUUGAUUGGGGCCAGUUUAAUGGGGACAAACCAUACGGUAAAAUUUAUUCAAGGAACAACCGAUACGGUGAAAGUUUAUUUGACUGAACAGUUACAUCGAGGUCAAGGAAAUACACCUGCAGAGAUAUCAUAGGAAAAGAUUACCAAAUCAUCAGUAUGAUUAUGCAUGGAAAGAUACAGUGCGGGGGUAGUAUAGUAUCGAUACAGGAACGAUGUAUUUAAGGCUGGAACAAGAGCAAAGUGGAGUUCGAAAAAUUGAAGAGUGAUUAUCAAUAAUGAUAACAAUGCGCUGAUCAGUUAUACAUCAAUCAUGCACGAGAUGAGGCCAUUCAGUAUACUGAAUAAAACCGGCCAGGCAUC